GAUGAACGCUGGCGGCGUGCUUAACACAUGCAAGUCGAACGAGCCUUCGGGCUAGUGGCGGACGGGUGAGUAACGCGUGGGAAUCUGCCCUCAGGAGGGGGAUAACGGCCGGAAACGGCCGCUAAUACCCCAUAUGCCGAGAGGUGAAAUGAAUUUCGCCUGAGGAUGAGCCCGCGUCUGAUUAGCUAGUUGGUGGGGUAAUGGCCCACCAAGGCGACGAUCAGUAGCUGGUCUGAGAGGAUGAUCAGCCACACUGGGACUGAGACACGGCCCAGACUCCUACGGGAGGCAGCAGUGGGGAAUUUUCCGCAAUGGGCGAAAGCCUGACGGAGCAACGCCGCGUGAGGGAUGAAGGCCUCUGGGCUGUAAACCUCUUUUCUCAAGGAAGAAGACAUGACGGUACUUGAGGAAUAAGCCACGGCUAAUUCCGUGCCAGCAGCCGCGGUAAUACGGGAGUGGCAAGCGUUAUCCGGAAUUAUUGGGCGUAAAGCGUCCGCAGGCGGCCUUGUAAGUCUGUCGUUAAAGCGUGGAGCUUAACUCCAUUUCAGCGAUGGAAACUACAAGGCUUGAGUGUGGUAGGGGCAGAGGGAAUUCCCGGUGUAGCGGUGAAAUGCGUAGAUAUCGGGAAGAACACCAGUGGCGAAGGCGCUCUGCUGGGCCAUAACUGACGCUCAUGGACGAAAGCCAGGGGAGCGAAAGGGAUUAGAUACCCCUGUAGUCCUGGCCGUAAACGAUGAACACUAGGUGUCGGGGGAAUCGACCCCCUCGGUGUCGUAGCUAACGCGUUAAGUGUUCCGCCUGGGGAGUACGCACGCAAGUGUGAAACUCAAAGGAAUUGACGGGGGCCCGCACAAGCGGUGGAGUAUGUGGUUUAAUUCGAUGCAACGCGAAGAACCUUACCAGGGUUUGACAUCCUGCGAAUCCCUUGGAAACGAGGGAGUGCCUUCGGGAGCGCAGAGACAGGUGGUGCAUGGCUGUCGUCAGCUCGUGUCGUGAGAUGUUGGGUUAAGUCCCGCAACGAGCGCAACCCACGUCUUUAGUUGCCAGCAUUCAGUUGGGCACUCUAGAGAGACCGCCGGUGAUAAACCGGAGGAAGGUGUGGAUGACGUCAAGUCAUCAUGCCCCUUACAUCCUGGGCUACACACGUACUACAAUGCUACGGACAAAGGGUUGCAAGCUCGCGAGAGUUAGCUAAUCCCAUAAACCGUGGCUCAGUUCAGAUCGUAGGCUGCAACUCGCCUACGUGAAGGAGGAAUCGCUAGUAAUCGCAGGUCAGCAUACUGCGGUGAAUACGUUCCCGGGCCUUGUACACACCGCCCGUCACACCAUGGAAGUUGGCCAUGCCCGAAGUCGUUACUCCAACCCUUGUGGAGGAGGACGCCGAAGGUGGGGCUGAUGACUGGGGUGAAGUCGUAACAAGGUAGCCGUACCGGAAGGUGCGGCUGGAUCACCUCCU
RNAcentral lists this ribosomal RNA (1456 nucleotides) under Synechococcus sp. 1tu21s05. Its description in RNAcentral is "16S ribosomal RNA". It matches the Rfam family "Bacterial small subunit ribosomal RNA". RNAcentral also lists the same sequence under 3 other names. The record is from RNAcentral. Lineage: Bacteria; Bacillati; Cyanobacteriota; Cyanophyceae; Synechococcales; Synechococcaceae.